CUAGCUACAGGCUAACACAUGCAAGUCGAGGGGCGAGCAUGUUGGUUGCUUGCAACCAAUGAUGGCGACCGGCGCACGGUGAGUAACGCGUAUCCAACCUUCCCCUUAGUAGAGGAUAGCCCGGCGAAAGUCGGAUUAAUACUCUAUGUUCUCCAAUGCGGACAUCUAAGUUGAAGCAAAGAUUUAUCGCUAAGGGAUGGGGAUGCGUCUGAUUAGGUUGCAGGCGGGGUAACGGCCCACCUGGCCUACGAUCAGUAGGGGUUCUGAGAGGAAGGUCCCCCACACUGGUACUGAGACGCGGACCAGACUCCUACGGGAGGCAGCAGUGAGGAAUAUUGGUCAAUGGGCGCGAGCCUGAACCAGCCAAGUAGCGUGCAGGGAACCGACUCGCCCUAGUUGGGUUGACAAACUGUCUUUUAUCGAGGGAAAUAAAGUGAGGCACGCGUGCCUUUUUGUAUGUACCUGAUGAAUAAGGACCGGCUAAUUCCGUGCCAGCCGCGGC
RNAcentral lists this ribosomal RNA (502 nucleotides) under uncultured bacterium. Its description in RNAcentral is "bacterial SSU rRNA". It matches the Rfam family "Bacterial small subunit ribosomal RNA", at positions 36 to 518 of the family's 1533-position model. The record is from RNAcentral.